This 873-nucleotide long non-coding RNA is filed under the name Phasianus colchicus (ring-necked pheasant). RNAcentral's name for it is "lncRNA (ENSPCLG00000015800.1)". The record is from RNAcentral. Lineage: Eukaryota; Metazoa; Chordata; Aves; Galliformes; Phasianidae.
AUGCCUAUUGUGUCACUUGAGUUUGCUGCCAAAAUCAAGUCCCUAUUUAGUAGGCAUCAACCCAGAUGGUACGCAACUUAUAGUAACUAUUGCUUCUCUAAACAGAGUUUAGCAAUUGAUACUACAUCUCAUUUAAGUUCUUUCAGACGUCUUAAAUAUAACUGCGGGACCUGGAAGCAUUUCUCCUGCUUCGCUCAUUGCUUGAAGACACCCGACCACGCGCGGAACCGACUGCCAUGUGGCGUUAGCACAAACCAGCGGUGUCACGGGAGCAAAACGCUGCGAUGGGGUCGGCUGCCGGUCAGGCGGCACGGCCGAGGGAGCCCUUUAGGAAGGCGUCCUCUCCUGAGGACGAAGGCACGAAGGGACCCCAGCGAACCGCGCAACACGGCGCCAGGCGGGCCGCGCUGCCGGAGGAAGGCGGCGCUUGGCCGGGGCGCCCCGCCCGGCCCGGGAAGUGAAAGCGAAAUGCGCAGCGGGCGGGGCGGGGUUUGCGCGGUGUCACUGCCGUCCCGCUCGCCGCGCCGAUGUCCCACGGGCCGAGAAGGGGACGGGAGGAGGGGGAGGACGGAGCGGCGAGGGGCAGCCAGGCGCGGCACGGCAGCCUCCACGAGUCCGCGGGCGGCGGCGGCAGGAGCCAGGGCCGGCACGAGAGGAAGAGGAAGAAGCAGGAGGCGCAGCAGCUGCAGAAGCUCCAGCACCUGGAGUCCUUCUACGAGAAGCCUCCCCCAGGGCUAAUUAAGGAGGAGGAAACAAAACCAGAAGACUGCAUACCUGACGUACCAGGCAAUGAAAGUGCACGAGAAUUCCUGGCACAUGCCCCAACAAAAGGGCUUUGGAUGCCUUUGGGAAAAGAAGUCAAAGUUAUGCAGU